RNAcentral lists this long non-coding RNA (526 nucleotides) under Gossypium barbadense (sea-island cotton). RNAcentral describes it as "long non-coding RNA (GBAR_LNC003311)". The record is from RNAcentral. Lineage: Eukaryota; Viridiplantae; Streptophyta; Magnoliopsida; Malvales; Malvaceae.
UUCCUUCUACCCCCUCUCCAGGUCUACCAAAAGUUGUUCUUCUAAGGAAGUGGUCUGGCUCUUUAGUUGGCGUAUCUUUUCUUCAGAAUCUUCAUUAAGGGAAUUGUAUUUAGUUUCCCAGCUACAGACAGAUUCGAUGAGCUCAUUAUUUUGGUGAACUGUGGUCUCAUAAGUUUGGUGAAGUUGGGCUAGUUCUUGAUUUUUGGAAGUUAAGGUUUUUUCUAGUUUAACCCGUUUAGCAUUACUUCCACUACAAUAUUGGCAGAGGGCUCAGCCAAUGAUUCUAUAUUAUUCCACCAUAACUUGGUAAGUAUCCACUAACUCUGGAAAAGUUAGUUUGUGGGCUCCAAAAGAAGGGAAGGUGCAGUUCUUCAACGCUUGAGGCAGACUCCUCUCCCAUCCUUGGUUGAUUUGAAGGGGAGAGAAAGGGGCCUGGCCUAUGUUGGCGUGGCUUCUCUACGGAAAUAAGGUAGAUACAGCACCAGAAAAAGAAGGAAUUGGAAUUGGACCAAGUGGAGAAGACAAC